This 409-nucleotide long non-coding RNA is filed under the name Cyanistes caeruleus (blue tit). RNAcentral's name for it is "lncRNA (ENSCCEG00000019504.1)". The record is from RNAcentral. Lineage: Eukaryota; Metazoa; Chordata; Aves; Passeriformes; Paridae.
GCCAUUUUAUCAGUAACCAAUGGGUUUCUGUGCUCCACUGACCUUGAAGUCAAUACCAGUGCCAAGAGCUCACUGUCUGCUGUUUCUUCUUGCAUUAUUGGUUUGAGAACCAUAAAAAUCUUCUGCUUUGAAAUCUGCUUAUUUCUUCAUUGUUUCUGACAGGAGGGGGAAAAAAGCCCCUGAAGAUCAGAUGGCUUAAUUAAGUGUCAUUUGGAUUGGAGGAUGGGGGGUGCAGGGAGAACAUUUGAGUGGUGCUGCCAUGUGAAUACGAGUCUGGCUGGCUGUGGCUUCCCAAAGGGUGACUCCAGUCCUCACGGGAAUUAGCCCAGUCGGUGUUUUCAUUGCUGAGGGGGCACAGGAUAAUGCUGCUAUCAGCUUCGUUAUUUACUUCAUCUCUGGCUCACUCAGC